This 253-nucleotide ribosomal RNA is filed under the name uncultured bacterium. RNAcentral's name for it is "partial 16S ribosomal RNA". It matches the Rfam family "Bacterial small subunit ribosomal RNA", at positions 524 to 776 of the family's 1533-position model. The record is from RNAcentral.
UACGUAGGGUGCAAGCGUUGUCCGGAAUUAUUGGGCGUAAAGAGCUCGUAGGCGGUUUGUCGCGUCUGCUGUGAAAACUCAGGGCUUAACCUUGAGCCUGCAGUGGGUACGGGCAGACUAGAGUGUGGUAGGGGAGAUCGGAAUUCCUGGUGUAGCGGUGGAAUGCGCAGAUAUCAGGAGGAACACCGGUGGCGAAGGCGGAUCUCUGGGCCAUAACUGACGCUGAGGAGCGAAAGCAUGGGGAGCGAACAGG